Mus musculus (house mouse) is the source of this 562-nucleotide long non-coding RNA. RefSeq annotates it as predicted gene, 39218. The transcript is spliced from 3 exons. Lineage: Eukaryota; Metazoa; Chordata; Mammalia; Rodentia; Muridae. The record is from RefSeq and is a predicted model, not a curated record.
GUUGUUGUUUUGAUUUUCAAAUAGGAACCUGCUCCUAUGGAGCAGUUAACCAUGGUGUACUGAAGGCCUUCAAUCCACUCAGGGCUCUGGAGGCGGGUACCAUCUGGAGCCGUAUCUUCAAGUCAGCAACUCUGUCUGCCUGCUGUCUCCAGUCUUCCAUGUGGCCCCAUCCUAAUGAGUGGGCCGUGCCAAGCUGCGUGUGGAACUGCUGUCCCGCGGUGCUGACACCACCUCCCAUUCAUUCAUGCAGCAUGCCUCAGCCAGCCAGAACCGGGACAUUUGGUCCAUACCCUUGGUCAUCUUGGGAGUUGAUUCUGACUACUGGCUGGUGCUAAGAGAGGAAGCAAAAUGUCUCCUUCAUGACAGGACAUAAGACAACAGUAUUUGCACCACUUUUUGCCUCAGAGAAAGACUAAAUGCGUCAUAUCUUCCUGACAGGCCGGCUCCUGACUGCCUUGACCGAUCCCACCCCACAGAAGUGACGCUGGAGUUUCCUUUUCUUGCCAGAGUCUUCUCUGCUGUGUCCUUCAAAGCCAUUACAUAGUCAGGAAGCCUGAAGCCU